GUGAGACUUUUGUAGUGAUCAUUCAUUUGAUACAUCAAUGCAAUAGAAUGCCCAUAAAGGUAUUUCUUUAUGUUUAACAAUGGUGAUUUCUUUUGGGCAACCGUUGCUUCGGAAACUCUUUUCACACCUUAUGACACUGCAGAAAAUAUUGACCAUUAUUUUGCUAAGGCAAUGCGAUAGACAUGUCCGUAAACGUAUUUUCUCUAUGUGGAAACGGAACAUAGUUAUGCAAUUACCGUCGUAGAUAUAUAUGACCACCAAAUAGAUGAAAACGAUAAAAGUUUUCACAUCCUUAAGAAGUUUCAGUUGCAGGUUCCCAGCUUCCAACGGAGCGUGUAUUUAUGAAUUAAUAUCAGAUAAUGACUAUACCAAGGGUCCUCGAUGAGGUGAGGGAAUCCUGCCCUACCGGUGGCAUCCGCCAUAAACAAAUGCACCUGAAAAAGCACUUGAAUGUGUGGUAUGAGU
Haliotis rubra (blacklip abalone) is the source of this 465-nucleotide long non-coding RNA. RefSeq lists it as uncharacterized. The transcript is spliced from 2 exons. NCBI's taxonomy places the organism in Eukaryota, Metazoa, Mollusca, Gastropoda, Lepetellida, Haliotidae. The record is from RefSeq and is a predicted model, not a curated record.